GAUGAACGCUGGCGGUAUGCUUUACACAUGCAAGUCGUACGAGAGUUUUUAACUCAAGUGGCGGACGGGUGAGUAACACGUAAGAAUUUGCCUUUAGGAGGGGGACAACAACUGGAAACGGUUGCUAAUACCCCAUAUGCUUUCGAGUGAAAUGGAUUUUUCCGCCUAAAGAGAAGCUUGCGGCUGAUUAGCUUGUUGGUGAGGUAAUGGCUCACCAAGGCGACGAUCAGUAUCUGGUUUGAGAGGACGAUCAGACACACUGGAACUGAGACACGGUCCAGACUCCUACGGGAGGCAGCAGUGGGGAAUUUUCCGCAAUGGGCGAAAGCCUGACGGAGCAAUACCGCGUGAGGGAUGACGGCCUAUGGGUUGUAAACCUCUUUUUUCAGGGAGGAAUCAAA
Molecule: ribosomal RNA, 401 nt
Filed under: uncultured bacterium
Lineage: Bacteria
Description: bacterial SSU rRNA
Rfam family: Bacterial small subunit ribosomal RNA
Source: RNAcentral